GACUUCAUAGAUUCAUUAUGUUAUCUAAAAUAGCUGGAUAGAUUUUGAGAAUUUGGUGAAUUAACUUUGGAUGUAUAAAUUGUGAGAAGAUCCUGGAGUGAGCUUUUGCAAGGAAUCAAAGAAACGCUGUUUGGAGAGAUAAGGUGGCAUGAGCUUUAAUUACAGGUGCACUGGUUUGUGCAAGACGGUGAAAUGAAGAUCCAAGAACUACUAUGUUGCAAAAAAGGAGAGCAAAAAGAGUUUAAUUACAAAUAAACUUUAGAUAUUAACUGGUGUAUUGAAUGCAUUGAAGGCUGAAUAAAACCUCUUACAUAUUUUUAGGUUGGCUAAUUUGUAAAGGCUUGGUCAUGUUCUUGCAAUCUUACAGUAAUGCUAAGUUUUCUUAAGCUUUUUCUUAGGACAUUCAGACAGCUUAACUGCAUACCACACACUAUUUUUUUGUUGAUUGCAAGAUGUGACAAAUAGGACUGGUCUAUCUUUGCUGGCUGAGAUCUACUCAGAACUUUUUAGAUAUGGAAAAUGCUUCCCCAACUAGAGAGUUCCUGGCUAUGCAUUUACUCCAUAGAGUCAUUAUGUCAUAAAAAAUAGUUGGAUAGAUUUUGAAAUUUUGGUGAAUUAACUUUGGAUUUAUAAAUUGUGAGAAGAUCCUGGGGUGAGCUUUUGCAAGGAAUGAAAGAAACACUGUUUAGAGAAAUAAGGUGGCAUGGGAUUUAAUUACAGGUCCAUUGAUUUGUGCAAGACGGUAGAAAUGAAGAUCCAAGAACUACUAUGUUGCACAAAAGGAGAGCGAAAAGAGUUUAAUUAAGGACAAACAAACUUUAGAUAUUAACAGGUGUAUUGAAUGCAUUGAAGGCUGAAUAAAACCUCUUACCGAUGUUUUUAGGUUGGCUUUUGACCUUUUCUUUUCCACAAAUGUAAAUGUUUAAAGGCUCGGUCAUGCUCUUGCAUCCUCGUGGUAACACAAAGUUUGCCGAAGGUUUUUCUUAGGACAUGCAGAUAGCUAAACUGCAUACACCUUUGGAUUGGUAUAAUUUAGCUGGCUGAGUUCUACUCAGAACUUCUAAGAUAUGGAAAAUGACUUUUUCCUUGAAAUAUUAUUUUGGUAGCUGGUCUCUUUGAGAUAUACAAUGUCAUUAUCCAUAGCAUGAGAAAAUUUAAUAAUGCAAUAGAAGAUAAUAAUAGGGAUUCUAACUUAUUUGGCUGCAUAAAAGGAAGUGAUCUUUUGCUUUGAUGAUUGAUAUCAAAGUUUCAAGUGAAUUAGGAUCAUCUCCAUUUCGUGUUAUGCUGCCAUGACCUCAUGGUUGUUAAUUUCUUUUGCAG
Molecule: long non-coding RNA, 1320 nt
Filed under: Populus tremula
Lineage: Eukaryota; Viridiplantae; Streptophyta; Magnoliopsida; Malpighiales; Salicaceae
Description: long non-coding RNA (PTRE_LNC002488)
Source: RNAcentral